GAUGAACGUCUACCCAAUAUGGCAGAAGCGGGGGACCCAAUCCCCAAGCUGGGAUACGGCUUCUCAAUCGAGAAGUCUCGGGGCUAAGUCACUUCGGUGGCCGAGCGAAUCCAUGCUCGAGUCCGACAGCUCACCUCGUCAGGCAAUGGAGGAAUUAUCA
Molecule: small RNA, 160 nt
Filed under: Rothia mucilaginosa
Lineage: Bacteria; Bacillati; Actinomycetota; Actinomycetes; Micrococcales; Micrococcaceae
Also listed under: 1 other name
Description: c-di-AMP sequence
Rfam family: c-di-AMP riboswitch aptamer (ydaO/yuaA leader)
About the family: This family represents a conserved RNA structure found upstream of the ydaO and yuaA genes in Bacillus subtilis and related genes in other bacteria.
Source: RNAcentral